Molecule: ribosomal RNA, 775 nt
Filed under: uncultured Neocallimastigales
Lineage: Eukaryota; Fungi; Neocallimastigomycota; Neocallimastigomycetes; Neocallimastigales
Description: partial large subunit ribosomal RNA
Rfam family: Eukaryotic large subunit ribosomal RNA
Source: RNAcentral
AGAGAUGUGUGAUGACGCAUAUCAAUAAGCGGAGGAAAAGAGACUAACAAGGAUUCCCUUAGUAACGGCGAGUGAAGCGGGAAGAGCUCAAAUUUGAAAUCUUCAAGGUUCUACCUUGACGAAUUGUAGUUUAUAGAAGUGUUUUCUGUUAGUAGAGUGGCAAAAGUUCUUUGGAAUAGGACAUCAUAGAGGGUGAGAAUCCCGUAUUUGGUCAUUCUUUCUAGCUUUGUGAUACACUUUCAACGAGUCGGAUUGUUUGGGAAUGCAGUCCAAAAUGGGUGGUAAAUUUCAUCUAAAGCUAAAUAUUGGCGAGAGACCGAUAGCGAACAAGUACCGUGAGGGAAAGAUGGAAAAGAACUUUGAGAAGAGAGUUAAACAGUACGUGAAAUUGUCAAAAGGGAAGCGUUUGACACCAGUGUUGUUUUUCCGAAAAUCAAUUACGAAUGUUUUAUUUUUGAGAAGUUAUGACUUCAUCGGCUUGCUCCUUUCUUUAUGAAACUUUCUUAAUGCACUUUUCGGUUAACAAGUCAACAUCAAUUUCUUUUGUUGUAAAAGAGUAUUGGGAAGGUGGCUUUCUUUUCGGAGAAAGUGUUUAUAGCCUUGUGCCUCUGCAAUCGGAGAGAUUGAGGUCUGCAGCGUAGAUCCUUCGGGGUUAGAUACGUUUGUGCUAAGUUAUAGCUUUUCAUAGACAACUUGUUGACUAUGUUUAGUCUUGUAGCUUACUCGCUUACGCUAUUUUACCUACGCUUAGGAUGUUGACGAUCAGCUGAGCGCG